Molecule: long non-coding RNA, 611 nt
Organism: Xenopus tropicalis (tropical clawed frog)
Lineage: Eukaryota; Metazoa; Chordata; Amphibia; Anura; Pipidae
Exons: 2
Source: RefSeq, a predicted model, not a curated record
UGGACUGAGGCCACACCUAGUCCAUUAGUAAUCGUACAAGAUCAUUAUUGUGGAAUCUGGGGAUUAGCAGAGAGGAAGAGGAUCAGACAGUAGCACCAAGCUUUGAGAAAGCGAGAGACGCACACAGGCAGCUAAUAGUGAGAAGGGAGGGAGCUCCAAGCAAAAUAUAAAGUUACAGAUCAAACCACAGCUUAAGGGGCGGAGUGGUGAAUCUUUGAGGACAGAUCCUAGCAACUAUGGUCACUGUGGUUGGCAAGGAGUCAUUCGCUAUCCACUUCCUAGUGGUGCUGAAAGAGAUGUUGGCUUUUGUACUGUUCAGUUACACUGUGCUGCUGGGGGCCCUCGGGCUGGCUGGUUGGAUUACUUACCUCAUGGUUCUAAAAUGAUCGAGGCUGUCUAGACCUCUUUGGACUUUGCUUAAUAGUACAGUGACCAUUAGCAGGCGUCACAUUAACGGAUUCUUAUGCAGUUACUGAAACACAAAGUGUAAACAGGACAAACUUUAUUUAUUAAUAUAAAUGAUGCUGUUAAAGAGUUAUUGCAAGCAUUUAAAUAUAACUUCAUUGCUUAAAUUAUUGAUAAAAUAAAUGAUUCUUUUAUUUUUAACAGUG